UACAGAGGUCUCGAGCGUUGUUCGGAUUCAUUGGGCGUAAAGGGCGCGUAGGCGGCGGGGCAAGUCUGGUGUGAAAUCUCGGAGCUCAACUCCGAAAUUGCACUGGAUACUGCUCUGCUAGAGGGCUGGAGAGGAGAUCGGAAUUCACGGUGUAGCAGUGAAAUGCGUAGAUAUCGUGAGGAAGACCAGUGGCGAAGGCGGAUCUCUGGACAGCUCCUGACGCUGAGGCGCGAAGGCUAGGGGAGCAAACGGG
Molecule: ribosomal RNA, 253 nt
Filed under: uncultured bacterium
Lineage: Bacteria
Description: partial 16S ribosomal RNA
Rfam family: Bacterial small subunit ribosomal RNA
Source: RNAcentral